CUGCUUGGCAAGCACCUACACUAAAAUUGGAUUGAUACAGAGAAGGUUAACGUGGCCUUUAUGACAGGAUGACAAGCAAGCACAGAAAAAUAAACUGGUUCUU
Molecule: small nuclear RNA, 103 nt
Organism: Ictalurus punctatus (channel catfish)
Lineage: Eukaryota; Metazoa; Chordata; Actinopteri; Siluriformes; Ictaluridae
Source: Ensembl